AGCGAUGUCGCCGCAGCUGGCGUCCUGUGUUCUCUGCGGGAAGACAAGGAGAUGAUCGGUCAUUGCGAUCAGGAUCGGACCAUCAAUGGCUUGCAACACACCCAAGAACCUGCAUGAACCGGAUUGGAAACGUCCCACCUUCACAUAAUUAUUGGCUGCUAAGAACUUGCUUCAACAGAACGGUGAGAAGAAGUACCAACAGACCGACGUGGUGCAAAAGGAGGCAAGUGUGAAGAGAAUACUGGAUCAAGCAAGAUCAAUAGUGAACCUCUUCUGCAAGUCUUCAAUUGCAACACAGAAGCUAUUGGAACAUUGUGGCCUUAUUCUUUUAAAUGACAUGCUGGUCAAGUACAUUCAACAUGAUCGCAAGACUCCUCAAACUGAAAUGCCGCGUACACACGAUCGGAAAUUCCGACAAGAAAAGUCCGAUGUGAGCUUUUGGU
Rana temporaria (common frog) is the source of this 443-nucleotide long non-coding RNA. RefSeq lists it as uncharacterized. The transcript has 3 exons. Lineage: Eukaryota; Metazoa; Chordata; Amphibia; Anura; Ranidae. The record is from RefSeq and is a predicted model, not a curated record.